CAGUUUUCAACAAGCGAAAAAAAUAUAAAAAGGCGGGAAACCAGAAGCGGAUAGUACAGCGGACCCAAGAGCAAAUUGACAAAUAUUGAAGAAAAUCUGAUAAUCAAUAUGUGUUAGAAUAGACUUUAAAUGUUAUUUGUCAUUCAAACCCCUUACAGCUGUGGGAACAAUUGGAAAAAUAUAUACCUUAUUUUUUUAUUCUAUUGUUAUUAAUAAUGGUAAUUGACAGAGUGGAGUUAAAUAUGGUUGGAAAUCAAAGGCGUGACUGCAAAAUUUCACGAUCGCGCAGAAUUGUGGAAAGGGAAAGCAGUUUUAAUUAAAAUAUAGCACACCAUUGCCACUCCCAUAUUUGGUGGCAUAGCAACAAGACAAGUAUAAAAUAUCUUGUAAAUUCACGAUUUGUAUUUGUAUUAAAACAUCUAUCCAAGAUUUAAACGCUAUGAUGGUAAGUUUUACACUUUUAUACCAUUUUCAAGUAUUUAAAUCAAGGAUCAUUGUAAUGCUUUCAAACAUCGACACAACUCACAACAUGAAGUCAAAAACAAUGUUUCCAAACAUUUUCCCCAUUGGGCUAUCCCAAUUAUUAUCUGCAUCGCCCCUGUUGAGGAACCUUGGAAUUUCCAGGGGAGAGGGCACAUUAACCAUGGAAUUUCCAGGGGAUACUAGGGAAGGAGUAAUUCUCACAUGAAAUUUCCAGACGGAGGGGUAUAAAUUUCAAGGGAUGGGAAUUCCAUGCGAAGACAUAUUUUAGAGGGAAAUUUCCGGAAAUAAAUGUCCCAUGAUGGAAAUUCCAUAGGGAGGGGUAAUUUACACAUGGAAAUUCCAUGACGAGGCCCAAAUUUUAUAUGAAAAUUCCAUGGGAAGGCCUAAUUUAAAAUGGAAAUUCCAUGGGCAAAAGUAAUUUUUACAAGGACAUUCCAUGGGAGGGGGUAUAUAUAUUACAUGAAAAUUUGUGGAAAUUCCAUGGGAGUACCGAAGUGAGAAAGCGGUUCCUAGACAGGGGGGUAUGCCCCAUUCAAAGCCCAUUUCAAUACAUUAUAUCAUUAUCAGUCGAUAUUAUUUUUCUUUUGUUAGAAAAUAUAGUGCAAGCAUUUUUGGGCCAUUCCAUAUAAUAUAGGCACUCCCUGUUGAUGGAUCUGGAUAUCCAAUGGGGAAGGGACUCUUUUAAUCUAAAUUUUCUUAGUGGGGAGGUUAGGAAAUUUUUGAAAAAAAUGGGAAAUCCUAGGAAGAAAUCCAAAAAUUCAUGAUAUCCAAAGGGGAAUUAUGCACCAGUCAAUGUAAAUCCCCACCCCACCCAACCAGGGAAAUGCAGGAAUUUGGAUUCUAAAGCAUUGCAAGCACAUUUAGCUGUCAUUCUCGCACCCGAGACAAAGAACAUAGUCCAUUGUCCCUGCAUAUGUCCCUGCAUGGUUUAUAUAUUUCUCUUGCAAGAU
Paramuricea clavata is the source of this 1433-nucleotide non-coding RNA. The record is from the annotation of a GenBank genome assembly. Lineage: Eukaryota; Metazoa; Cnidaria; Anthozoa; Malacalcyonacea; Plexauridae.